GCUGCAUGAUGUAAUGAACUGAGUGCUGCCUGCAGGUGAGCUGUGCAGGAAGGAUGGUGAUGCUGAGAUGUCUGUAGGGAGGCAAUGGGCAGCAACGGGUUAGGGAAGCAAGGCAGGGCUUCACACCUUGGCACUGCCCAGCCUGCUCCCUCCUGCAGCAGAAUGGUGCUGUGUGAGUCUCUGGGAGGAUGUCACAGGGCACAGCAUUCGUGUGCUGAGAGAAACAGGAGCUGGCAAUGUUUACCAGCAGCGGCAGGCUUUAGGGACAGACUUCUUUGCACUCCAGGUGGAUGGAGGUUGGCCUCGUGCUGCUUCCCAAACCUCCCUUGUCCUCGGGCUGGGAUGCUCCAGUCAUUACCCAAGGGGGAAGGGAAAUGAGUUAAACCCAUCUUCAGACACGUUUGUAUUGAUUCUGUCACUUUCUUGCUGCUUGCUGACAGGUGAUGGAUGGCUCAUAAUGCGACCGGCACAGUACAUUACGUUUCCCAUCCAGGGACUCCUAAAUCAUUUCAAAUUUUCAAAUUCCCUAAUCAAUAUUUUAUCAGUAGCAGAAGAAAGCGGAACGGGCCCAUUUCUCAAGAGGGAGGGGAGUGAGCGUGUGUGUAUGCGUGCCUGCACAUGGAUGUGAGUUUGUGUAUUUGUAAUAGCAACUAAAGCAUCGCUAGCACAGUGAUUACAGUACCUGCAGCUGUAAAAAUAAAUGCAGAAGUAGGACUGGGAGUGGUGUUUACAUUCUGGUGACUACAGGAUGAAACAAAUUAAGGACUCGAGCGUUUGGUGUUAAUGUAUGGGGCUGUGGCCUUCUUCCUCUUGGCUUGUACUCUACCCUUUUCUCUCUGUUGUUAUAUGAAGAGGGCGGCUGCUCUCACCUGUCUAUUUGCUGGAGCUGGAGAUAGAUUUUGGGUUGUGCUGCCCAAGGUGCUCCCUUCCCCAGAGGCACCAUGCGCUAUGGGAUGCAGACCUUGAGUCCUUGCUCAGCCAUUACAGUGCUGCAUGUAGGAAUAAUACGUUUCUUGUUCUGAACCACAGAAUCACGGGGUUGGAAGGGACCUCUGGAGAUCUUCCAGUCCAAUCCUGCUGCUAAAGCAGUUCCCUACAGUAGGUCACAUAGGAAAGCGCCCAGUUGGGGCUUGAAUGUCACCAGAGAAGAAGACUCCAUCACCUUUCUGGGCAACCUGUUCCACUGCUGUCCCAUCUCACAGUAAAGAAGUCUGAGGACUGGCCUCGUCAGCGGGAAUCCUAUGGAAUGGAUCCCAUCAGUGAGCAGGGAGGAUGCUCUGGACCAGCAACAGCCAACAGAACCCCUCAGUGUUCAUCCUCCAGAAGUCAGUACUGCUCCUGCCUCUUUCAACCCUACAAGUGUCUUGCAGAGAUGUUUUAGCAUUUGAAGAGCUGCGUGUUGUAGGAUUUCUGUUGUCCCUGCUCUUAUGAUCUCGUCCCAUCCCGUAGAUGAAUGGAAAAACUGAUCUGACUAACGUCUUCUUUCCCAAGGUUUGAAGCCUGAGGGAUGGUGCUACUUGCAGAGGGACCCGCAGGGACAUUGUGGGAUUACUGGUAGGAGGAUGGCAUGGGGCUGCCACAGCACAUCUCCUCUGGCACUGCCUGGGCAGGGAACCCUGCAGUCCAGCACAACCCAGCUCCCACCACCACAUCAGCCUCUUGCAGUGGCUCACUCUGAGCUGUCGCUAAUGAGGAUGGUGCUCAUCAUGUGAUCGCGCCUUUGGGCAAGGGCGGUGGUGCUGCUAAUUGGCUUCUCUGGCUGCGGUUUCCUUAGGAAACAAGGUUAAAGCAACUCAGCUCAAAAAUGUACCUCCCGGAGGAAGGCACUUCAAUAUUUCUUCCCCUGUAAAUGGAAACAGCUCUAUGCCUGACGCCAGCUCCUUUCUAUCACCAGGUGGAACCAAAGGAUGUAGGUGCAUCUCUGCUAUGUUCUCUCUUGGUGUGUUGGUCCUGUGGCCCAGCCCUGGAUCAACACAUUUUCUAUCUAAUGUAUUUGACCAUCAGAGCUAUGAAAAUUCUGAAAUGAAGUUCUCCCAAAUAAAUCAAAUAGAAAGGAAGUGGCUUUGUAUCAAACCACUGAAUUAAUAUAAUUAUCGUAUCGAUUAAAUCAUCAAACAAACCUGCAGCUCCUCUAUCAGAUUCACUGUGCCUGGUUCACGCUCCCUGAAGCACAGACCACUAUGCCAACCGUUCCCUUUGCAUUCCAGGCAGAGAGCUGCUCCUCACUGGGGCUGCAGUGAUCUCUGGCCACAUCUCGCACACAGAGCAGGCCUCCACUGCCCAUUACAGCUGUCAGCCGAAAUUAUAUGUAUUUGGGGAAGAGGUGAUCUCUCACAUACCCACUCCGAUGUGAGUCACUGAGCCUGAGCUGGCAUUACACAGCUUGAUGCGUUCCAAAUUACAGAAGGAAAGUGCUGUCGAGUCAUGGCCUGUUGGGGCUGAAUGUGGCACGGGGGCACGUGCACCUCUCCUGCAGGCAAAGGGCUGCGGGGAGAUGAGAGGGGCGAGAAGUGAUGGCCUCAAGUUGUGCCAGGGGAGGCUCAGGCUGAGUAUUAGGAAACAUUUGUUCUCCAAAAAAGUGGCAAUGCAGUGGCACAGGCUGCCCAGGGAAGUAGUGGGGUGACUGUCCCUGGAGGUACUGAGGAACGAUGGAGAUGUGGCACUGAGGAAUGUGAGCAUGGUAGGGAUGGGUUGGAGUUGGACUCGGUGAUCUGAGAGGUCUUCUCCAACCUUAACGAUUCCAUGAUUCUAUGAUCUCUCACCCAAAGGACUCUCCUUGAACAUUCACCCCCUCUGCUCUUGUGCCUGCUCCUGCUCUCACUGCUCUGCCGCUUUGGGGUAAGGGAGUAUUUUCCACCUAAAAAAUGCAGCUGUAAGAUGUGGUCUUGACUUUAAAGCAGGGUUGGAGUCAGGCAGGCAGCCAGCCAAGAGCUGGGCGUGAUUAUUCAGAGGAUUAUGAUCAGUGAGUCUACAUCCAUUGACCUGCAGGACUCAGCUUGAAAACAUUAAGAACUUGUCACAAUUUGGUGCUAAAAUUGCCUUUGAACCCCCAACAAGUUUUCUCCUCCAUAGGCAGCUACAAGAGGCAGUCGCUGUCUCUGCAAGCAGUGGCUUAACUUGGUUUUAAGUUCUGAAGCAAUGCUGGAGGAAUGAAGCCAAUGACUGGGGCAGUGGGAAUGUCCCCGUUUUGGGCUCAGCAAACCCCAGCAUGGCUCACAGGUCCCGCAGCCACAUCCCUGCUGGCUCAGAGCUGAUAAGCGACGCAAUUUCAGCCUCAUUCCAGCUGACAACAAGCAAAGACUGACUCAUCCCCAGCAGUGUUAUUUCAGUGUGAGUUUAGCCUCCAAUUGUGCCGUAAAAAGAAGAAAAAGCACGACUGCUUUGCAGAAAGAGCCCUCAUUGUUCCUUUAGUUUGGGGCCGCUCUCUGCUGCUCGUAUGCUAAUGGCAAGCUCCUUGCACAGCUCAGUGGGGGAGAAGCAGCAAACAAGAGGCGUGCUCCAGGUCUGGCUUUCUGCUGUGCUCAAACUUUUCCAUGGUUCCUGCUCUUUCAGGAAGCAGUCUGCAGGUGAGGCGUGAAAUGCUUCCACUGAGCAAAUUGAAAGAGACUGUCUCGGCAGGAGAGGGAUUUGAAUAACCUUGUGCUGUAUAAGUUUUGGGGGGAGGCUCUCAGCCUUCCUUGCAUGCAGAUUUCCCAGGGGUGGUGCUUUUCGUCCUGCAUGUGAUUUGUUUUGGUGUGUCUGCGCCACUGUGUGUGGCUGGAGAUGGAAAGCUGGAACAGAGCUGUUCUGAGCAUGCAGGUAAGAGGUUGCAUGGCCAGAUUCACCUCGACAUGAUGGUAAACAGCUCUCAGCGGCUAGCAUCCUGUUUCCCUGCACUGUGCCCAAGCGAAGAAGCUGAUGGCCUUCCUGGUGGAGGCAGUGUUUUGGCUGCGGCCCCAGUUUCAGAAGUUGAGCAGCUGAAGUUACCCCCAUGCAUUUCUCCAGGCAUCUCCUGGAGAGACAUUCUGGUGACCUGCUGGUUUCAAACCCCAGGCUGUGCUGGUGGGACCUUCCAGAGCAUCCAUAGCCUGCAUUGGGUUAAACCACCCUAGAUCUGUACCAGCCAAGUUCCAGGUUGCACAGAGAGCUGGAGGUGCCCCAGGCCACAGGUGGGCCCCGGGCAGCCUGAGCUGGUUGGCAGCCAGCCCAUGGCAGGGGAACUGGGGGGGGCUUUGGUGUCCUUUCCAGCCCAACCAUGCUGUGAUUCUAUGAUUCUGUGAAAGCAGUGCGUGAGGGCUCUGAGCACUGGGCUGCAAGCAGGAUGGUGCCUAGGAUUUCACACCUCGACGAAUUUCUGCACAUUCAAAUAUGGCAUCUCGGCACUCUGCUCCCCUGCUCAUCUGUAUUCUCCCCCCAAAGGCAGAUGCUCCAGCCCGGCAUUGGCAUUCAGUGCUGGUGCCGACACCUCUCACCAGAUCAGAACUGGGAUCGAUUCCCCCUGCUGUCGGCCGUUUGCGCUCUGCCAUCCACCCAACGCCCACAGCAAAAACUCUGCCUCUGCUCCGCAGCUUCUCCCCGCACCCUUCCCUUCCCAGCAUCCCCCCGAGCUGCUCCGCUGCCCGGCCGGGGUUCAGCCCUUUGUCCUGCGGACUGCGCUGAAGCUUGGCUGCUCCUUUUUGCAGAAUGAGCCUCUGCUUAGGUCAGCUGUAAUUUAAUCAAGCGGUACAAAGGAUUUAGUGCACCUUGCUGAUGGAAAUUGCCUUGGGCUGGACAAAAGAAAUAUGCAUGCCUUUCCCUUCGCCUCCUCCUGCAGCAGCUCAGGCUGUGGUUGGUGUUUUCCUUCCCCUCCCCGCUCCCUGACACGUAACUCAGAGGCAGUUCACAUCUCGCUAUCUGCCUCAAAGUCUUACGAGGCUUCUUCCCUCGCAAUGACGGAUUCAGCGAAUAAAGCCCACAACCAUGAUUUCCCUCAG
Molecule: long non-coding RNA, 4952 nt
Organism: Tympanuchus pallidicinctus (lesser prairie-chicken)
Lineage: Eukaryota; Metazoa; Chordata; Aves; Galliformes; Phasianidae
Exons: 3
Source: RefSeq, a predicted model, not a curated record